AUUUUUUUUUUUUUUUUUUUUUUUCUCAAACUCCUCAAAAAAUCCUCUAGUUUGCUUCUACAGUUUGGGUGUGUGUGCGCGUAACAACAUCGAAGAAACGAGGAAGCUCGAUAGCGUAUAUAUAUAUAUAUAUUUUUUUUUUUUUUUCGCUUUCUCUACGAUUCGUUACGAUUGGCCUGGUCUACUUAUCUGCUAUCCUGUUUGUCGCUUCUGUUGUU
Molecule: long non-coding RNA, 218 nt
Organism: Apis dorsata (giant honeybee)
Lineage: Eukaryota; Metazoa; Arthropoda; Insecta; Hymenoptera; Apidae
Exons: 2
Source: RefSeq, a predicted model, not a curated record